Hippocampus comes (tiger tail seahorse) is the source of this 418-nucleotide long non-coding RNA. RefSeq lists it as uncharacterized. The record is from RefSeq and is a predicted model, not a curated record. NCBI's taxonomy places the organism in Eukaryota, Metazoa, Chordata, Actinopteri, Syngnathiformes, Syngnathidae. The transcript is spliced from 5 exons.
UCCGAGGAGCCGGCGGCCCCGCUGGCCGAGAGGCCCGGGUCGGCCACGCUGCCGUAGCCGGUGUCUCCGACGUUCAGGGGCAUGGCGCUGGGCUGCAGUGCUUACUUGCUGGUGAUGCCGCCCCCUGGAGGAAGUCCCGGUAUUUCCUCCUCCCUCAGGAACUUGAUCACAUCCAAAAGGAUAUUCUGAGGCACUUUGAUGUUGGUGACAUCAUAAACAUCCUCGAUGAUGUCAUCAAACAACCGAGGAGGAGCAAGGCUCAUGAUGUGCAGUGGUGAAAACCCUGAGCGCUGUUUCUAAUAGAGAUGUUUGGUUGCCACAUUUACCUACAUGAAAAGGUCGUCGCACACCUGCAGGCGGCUGCGCACGAAAGCACAGAGUUCCUCAUUGCCGAUGGCAUCCCAAACGCCAUCGCACG